AGAGUUUGAUCCUGGCUCAGGAUGAACGCUGGCGGCGUGGAUAAGGCAUGCAAGUCGAAUGCUACAGCAAUGUGGCAUGGCAAACGGGUUAGUAAUGCAUAGGAACAUUCCCAAAAGUCAUGAAUAAUUCGUCGAAAGACGGAAUAAUACAUGAUGUGCUCUACGGAGUAAAGAUUUAUCGCUUUUGGAGUGGCCUAUGUCCUAUCAGCUAGUUGGUAGUGUAAUGGACUACCAAGGCUAUGACGGGUAGGGGGCGUGAGAGCGUGAUCCCCAACAUUGGAACUGAGACACUGUCCAAACACCUACGGGUGGCUGCAGUCGAGAAUAUUCCACAAUGGACGAAAGUCUGAUGGAGCGACGCCGCGUGCAGGAAGAAGGCCCUUGGGUCGUAAACUGCUUUUGUAAGGAAAAAAUGUAAUGAUGGUACCUUGCGAAUAAGAGGUUACUAACUCUGUGCCAGCAGCCGCGGU
RNAcentral lists this ribosomal RNA (470 nucleotides) under uncultured bacterium. Its description in RNAcentral is "bacterial SSU rRNA". It matches the Rfam family "Bacterial small subunit ribosomal RNA", at positions 8 to 521 of the family's 1533-position model. The record is from RNAcentral.